UACGUAGGGGGCAAGCGUUGUCCGGAAUCAUUGGGCGUAAAGCGCGUGUAGGCGGUUCGGUAAGUCUGCUGUGAAAGUCCAGGGCUCAACCCUGGGAUGCCGGUGGAUACUGUCGGACUAGAGUACGGAAGAGGCGAGUGGAAUCCCGGUGUAGCGGUGAAAUGCGCAGAUAUCGGGAGGAACACCAAUUGCGAAGGCAGCUCGCUGGGACGUCGACUGACGCUGAGACGCGAAAGCGUGGGGAGCA
This 247-nucleotide ribosomal RNA is filed under the name uncultured bacterium. RNAcentral's name for it is "partial 16S ribosomal RNA". It matches the Rfam family "Bacterial small subunit ribosomal RNA", at positions 524 to 770 of the family's 1533-position model. The record is from RNAcentral.